Long non-coding RNA from Vanessa tameamea, 500 nucleotides. RefSeq lists it as uncharacterized. The transcript is spliced from 2 exons. Lineage: Eukaryota; Metazoa; Arthropoda; Insecta; Lepidoptera; Nymphalidae. The record is from RefSeq and is a predicted model, not a curated record.
UUGCUUGUGAAAUUUUAAUGUUCUAAUUAGAUAAAAAAUUAUAAUAUGGUUAGAUAUGGAGACUGCGGCUGAUGUUUGGAGAAUAAAGCUAUUUACACGAAAGAACAAAGAAAUCGAUGAAACGAGAAAAAAAUCAAACGUCGGCGAUAUCGAGAGAAAGUUCUCGAAGAUACCUUCGUGUACGUCAUGUCGCUACACCAAAUCCAAAACGUGCGGCAGUACAGAGGAGGGCUUGAUGUGCAAGAAGCCGCCUCCGAUCCCCGAUCACUCCUUCGCUAGCCUCAAACAAAUCCUCAGCAAGGAUUGUUGUAACUGUUGCGGUACCGUUAUUGAAUUCUUCAAAGAAGCGUUCAAGACUAUCCAGGGCUACCCCAAAACUCGGGUGUGCGAUAUCCUCGCUGAUAUGAGUGAUUACCUCCUCGCAAUAGCCAGUGAUUGCGUUCUGUUGUUGAGACGAUGUUUUCAUUAUUUUAUGUCUGCUAAAUAAUCGUUUUAUUUUU